RNAcentral lists this ribosomal RNA (680 nucleotides) under uncultured archaeon. RNAcentral's name for it is "bacterial SSU rRNA". It matches the Rfam family "Archaeal small subunit ribosomal RNA", at positions 90 to 771 of the family's 1478-position model. The record is from RNAcentral.
UCAGUAACACGUGGAUAACCUACCCUUAGGACCGGAAUAACCCCGGGAAACUGGGGAUAAUACCGGAUAAGCCAUAGACGCUGGAAUGCCCUAUGGUUCAAAGCUCCGGCGCCUAAGGAUGGAUCUGCGGUCUAUCAGGUUGUAGUGGGUGUAACGUACCUACUAGCCGACGACGGAUACGGGUUGUGAGAGCAAGAGCCCGGAGAUGGAUUCUGAGACACGAAUCCAGGCCCUACGGGGUGCAGCAGGCGCGAACACUUUACAAUGCGGGAAACCGCGAUAAGGGAACCCCGAGUGCCAGCAUCAAAUGUUGGCUGUCCAGAUGGUUAAAAAUCAUUUGUUAGCAAGGGCCGGGCAAGACCGGUGCCAGCCGCCGCGGUAACACCGGCGGCCCGAGUGGUAGCCGUUUUUAUUGGGUCUAAAGGGUCCGUAGCCGGCCUGAUAAGUCCUUUGGGAAAUCUGACAGCUUAACUGUCAGGCUUCUAAGGGAUACUGUCAGGCUUGGGACCGGAAGAGGUAAGGGGUACUCCAGGGGUAGGAGUGAAAUCUUGUAAUCCCUGGGGGACCAUCUGUGGCGAAGGCGCCUUACCAGAACGGGGCCGACGGUGAGGGACGAAAGCUAGGGGAGCAAACCGGAUUAGAUACCCGGGUAGUCCUAGCUGUAAACGAUGCUCGCUGGG